UUAAAAUCUCAUGUUAGACAAUGCAGUAAUGUUCAGAGUUGAAAUCAUUAGAUUAUGGGAAUUGUAAACUCAUCAAGUGGAUUAAUUCAUUUGAUGGAUGAAUAACUUUAAUGGACUCUUAGGUGGUAAUGUAGGUAGUUGGGGUAUGGCUGAAGGAAGUAGGUACUGGGAACAUGGCCUUGGACCAUAGCUGUCCCUGGAUCCUUGUGUGCCCUAACCCUCCUGGCUGCCGUUGAGCUGAGCAGCUUUCCUCCACAAGGCCUUCCACCAUGAUGUUCUGCCUCAUCUGCGGCCCAGAGCAAUGGACCCAGCUGACCACGGAUUGAAUCUCUAAAACUGUAAGCCAAAAAUAAACUUCCUCCUUUUAGUUGUCUUUGUUGGGUAUUUUGGUCACAAUGAUAAACAGUUAACUCAUACACAAAUGUACCCUUUCUGAAUUCAAUUUUUCUAUCUGAAAUUAUCCUCCUGGUUGGAAAUUUCUCUUUAGGAUAUGAUUUUUUUUUUAAUUGUAAGUUUUGCUUUGUUUCAACUGAGGUCCUGAUGAUAAAUUACCUGUUUUAGUUUGUCUAAAACCAAUUUUUUUUCCCUGAGGUUUUGAGAGGUAUUCUCACUGGAUAUAGAAUCCUGGGUUAGAAGCUGUAUUAGUCAGCUUUUUCACUGUUGUGACUAAAAGGCAUGACCAGAACAAUUGUAGAAAAGGAAAAGUUUAUUCAGGGGCACAGAGUUUCAGAGGUUUCGGUUCAUAAACAGAAGCCUCCAUUCCUCUGGAUACUGAACAUCACCGCAGAAGAGUGAGGCAGAGUUAAGCAGCUCACAGGAUGAUCAGACAGCAGAGAGAGACUCUAUAUGACAGAUGCAAAAUUCCCCAAAGUCAUGCCCCUAAUGCCCACUCCCUCCAGUCACACCCCACCUGCCUUCAGUUACCACUCAGUUAAUAUCCUAAGAGGAUUAAUCCACUGAUUGGGUUAAAAUUCUCAUAACCCAAUCAUUUUUCCUCUGAACCUUCUUACAUUGUCUCACACAUGAGCUUUUGGGGGACACCUCACAUCCACAUCCAAACCAUAGCAGAAGCUACUUCUUUUAAGUAUGCUAUGUAUACC
This 1100-nucleotide long non-coding RNA is filed under the name Marmota monax (woodchuck). Lineage: Eukaryota; Metazoa; Chordata; Mammalia; Rodentia; Sciuridae. The record is from RNAcentral.